This 2865-nucleotide ribosomal RNA is filed under the name Xanthomonas albilineans. RNAcentral's name for it is "bacterial LSU rRNA". It matches the Rfam family "Bacterial large subunit ribosomal RNA". The record is from RNAcentral. Lineage: Bacteria; Pseudomonadati; Pseudomonadota; Gammaproteobacteria; Lysobacterales; Lysobacteraceae.
AGCGCACACGGUGGAUGCCUUGGCGGUCAGAGGCGAUGAAGGACGUGGCAGCCUGCGAAAAGUGUCGGGGAGCUGGCAACAAGCUUUGAUCCGGCAAUGUCCGAAUGGGGAAACCCACUGCUUCGGCAGUAUCCUGCAGUGAAUUCAUAGCUGCUGGAAGCGAACCCGGUGAACUGAAAUAUCUAAGUAACCGGAGGAAAAGAAAUCAACCGAGAUUCCCUAAGUAGUGACGAGCGAACGGGGACUAGCCCUUAAGCUGGUAUGGUUUUAGAAAAACAACCUGGAAAGGUUGGCCAUAGAAGGUGAUAGCCCUGUAUUUAAAAGGGCCAUACCAGUGAAGACGAGUAGGGCGGGGCACGUGAAACCCUGUCUGAACAUGGGGGGACCAUCCUCCAAGGCUAAAUACUCCUGACCGACCGAUAGUGAACCAGUACCGUGAGGGAAAGGCGAAAAGAACCCCGGAGAGGGGAGUGAAAUAGAUCCUGAAACCGUGUGCGUACAAGCAGUAGGAGCUCGUAAGAGUGACUGCGUACCUUUUGUAUAAUGGGUCAGCGACUUACUGUUCGUGGCAAGCUUAACCGUAUAGGGGAGGCGAAGGGAAACCGAGUCUGAUAAGGGCGCAUAGUCGCGGGCAGUAGACCCGAAACCGGGUGAUCUAGUCAUGCCCAGGGUGAAGGUCAGGUAACACUGACUGGAGGCCCGAACCCACUCCCGUUGCAAAGGUAGGGGAUGAGGUGUGAUUAGGAGUGAAAAGCUAAUCGAACCCGGAGAUAGCUGGUUCUCCUCGAAAGCUAUUUAGGUAGCGCCUCAUAUGUAUCCUCUCGGGGGUAGAGCACUGUUAUGGCUAGGGGGUCAUCGCGACUUACCAAACCAUUGCAAACUCCGAAUACCGAGACGGACUGUAUGGGAGACACACGGCGGGUGCUAACGUCCGUCGUGAAAAGGGAAACAACCCAGACCCACAGCUAAGGUCCCAAAUUCACUGCUAAGUGGAAAACGAUGUGGAAAGGCAUAGACAGCCAGGAGGUUGGCUUAGAAGCAGCCACCCUUUAAAGAAAGCGUAAUAGCUCACUGGUCGAGUCGGUCUGCGCGGAAGAUUUAACGGGGCUAAGCAGUGAACCGAAGCUUGGGGUGCAUCGCGUUAAGCGAUGCGCGGUAGAGGAGCGUUCCGUAAGCCUGCGAAGGUGGAUUGAGAAGUCUGCUGGAGGUAUCGGAAGUGCGAAUGCUGACAUGAGUAACGAUAAUGCGGGUGAAAAACCCGCACGCCGAAAGCCCAAGGUUUCCUUGCGCAACGUUAAUCGGCGCAGGGUGAGUCGGCCCCUAAGGCGAGGGCGAAAGCCGUAGUCGAUGGGAAGCAGGUUAAUAUUCCUGCACCUCGCGUAAGUGCGAUGGAGGGACGGAGAAGGUUAGGUGUACCGGGCGUUGGUUGUCCCGGGGAAAGGCGGUAGGUUUGGAUCCUUGGCAAAUCCGGGGUCCUUUAAGACCGAGCACCGAGACGAGUCUUUGAGACGAAGUCACUGAUACCACGCUUCCAGGAAAAGCUCCUAAGCUUCAGCUUACGCAGACCGUACCGUAAACCGACACAGGUGGGUAGGAUGAGAAUUCUCAGGCGCUUGAGAGAACUCGGGUGAAGGAACUAGGCAACAUGGCACCGUAACUUCGGGAGAAGGUGCACCCUUUUUGGUGGCUCGUGCGAGCUAUAGCUGAAGAGGGUCGCAGAAACCAGGCCGCUGCGACUGUUUAUCAAAAACACAGCACUCUGCAAACACGAAAGUGGACGUAUAGGGUGUGACGCCUGCCCGGUGCUGGAAGGUUAAUUGAUGGGGUCAGCCGCAAGGCGAAGCUCUUGAUCGAAGCCCCAGUAAACGGCGGCCGUAACUAUAACGGUCCUAAGGUAGCGAAAUUCCUUGUCGGGUAAGUUCCGACCUGCACGAAUGGCGUAACGACAGCGGCGCUGUCUCCACCCGAGACUCAGUGAAAUUGAAAUCGCUGUGAAGAUGCAGCGUUCCCGUGGCAAGACGGAAAGACCCCGUGAACCUUUACUAUAGCUUUACACUGAACGUUGAGUUCGUCUGUGUAGGAUAGGUGGGAGGCUAUGAAACCAUGGCGCUAGCUGUGGUGGAGCCAUCCUUGAAAUACCACCCUGUCGUGCUUGACGUUCUAACCUAGGUCCGUAAUCCGGAUCGGGGACCGUGUAUGGUGGGUAGUUUGACUGGGGCGGUCUCCUCCUAAAGAGUAACGGAGGAGCACGAAGGUACGCUCAGCGCGGUCGGACAUCGCGCACUGUGUGCAAAGGCAUAAGCGUGCUUGACUGCAAGAUCGACGGAUCAAGCAGGUACGAAAGUAGGUCUUAGUGAUCCGGUGGUUCUGUAUGGAAGGGCCAUCGCUCAACGGAUAAAAGGUACUCCGGGGAUAACAGGCUGAUACCGCCCAAGAGUUCAUAUCGACGGCGGUGUUUGGCACCUCGAUGUCGGCUCAUCACAUCCUGGGGCUGUAGUCGGUCCCAAGGGUAUGGCUGUUCGCCAUUUAAAGUGGUACGCGAGCUGGGUUCAGAACGUCGUGAGACAGUUCGGUCCCUAUCUGCCAUGGGCGUUGGAGAUUUGAGAGGGGCUGCUCCUAGUACGAGAGGACCGGAGUGGACGAACCUCUGGUGUUCCGGUUGUCACGCCAGUGGCAUUGCCGGGUAGCUAUGUUCGGAAGCGAUAACCGCUGAAAGCAUCUAAGCGGGAAGCGCGCCUCAAGAUGAGAUCUCCCGGGACACAAGUCCCCUAAAGGAACCAUGUAGACUACGUGGUUGAUAGGUCAGGUGUGUAAGUGCAGCAAUGCAUUGAGCUAACUGAUACUAAUGAUCCGUGCGGCUUGACC